AGGCACGUGAGUAAGAGGGAGGGAACAGUGCAGCAUGGAGGUACAACAGACUGCUGCAGCAGCGCAGAAAGAUGAACGCGAUGGUUUAGGGAUAUUAAAUCGGGUCGGGCGUGGAGAGCAAAGCGAAGGGAGUCACGGCGCUUUAUCCUACACGACGCCGUGUCACUCCCAACUGCACCCCCACUUGAACGCAACGGCUCCAGCGCGGCAUGUGGUCGUCCCAGGUGUCCAGAUUCCUCGGGCACCGCGGUCCCCACCCCCUCCGACCCCCGUACUCUUCCCCCCUACAACUCGCUGAUGGAACGAACGUGGAGGGAUGGGCGCAGAAAGCAAAGUUUGGAAAGGCUAAAUUGGAUCACUUGGACAUAGCCUUUUCCAUCCAUCGCCAUCCAUACGGGAGUUCCAGGCGUGGAGCAAUGAGCGUCAAGGAGACGAAGCUGGGCGCACUCUCCGGAAACAUUUAAAUGACAAAGAAUAAUUAAAUGCGAAUGCUUCACGAUCCCUAUCAAACGUAAGUUUGACCACAUCCUCUCUCUCCCUCUCCCUCUCCUUACAUUAUUUGAUUAAAUGCUACUGCUCAUUUUUUUUGCUUCACCGUCGUGUAGGCACCCGGCCG
This is a non-coding RNA of Musa acuminata subsp. malaccensis (wild Malaysian banana), 616 nucleotides long. Lineage: Eukaryota; Viridiplantae; Streptophyta; Magnoliopsida; Zingiberales; Musaceae. The record is from RefSeq and is a predicted model, not a curated record.